This 12050-nucleotide long non-coding RNA is filed under the name Salvia miltiorrhiza (redroot sage). Its description in RNAcentral is "long non-coding RNA (SMIL_LNC006841)". The record is from RNAcentral. Lineage: Eukaryota; Viridiplantae; Streptophyta; Magnoliopsida; Lamiales; Lamiaceae.
GAAGGUGUGAUUUUUGGACUUGUUGGUGAAUAUGCUUGUGAAGGGCUAUACCUUGCUGAAGGAUUGUAACUUGGUGAGGUUGGACUGUAAGUUGGUGAGGUGGGACUGUAUCCAGGCGAAGUUGGGCUGUAGGCAGGUGAGGUUGGGCUAUAUGAUGGCGAGGUUGGGCUGUACGAUGGAGAGGUUGGGCUAUAUGAAGGUGAGGUUGGGCUGUAAGAUGGAGAGGUUGGGCUGUAAGAGGGUGAGGUAGGGCUGUAAGAGGGUGAUGUGGGGCUGUAAGACGGAGACGUGGGGCUGUAAGCCGGAGAGGUUGGGCUAUACGCAGGUGAGGUUGGGCUGUAUGCUGGAGAAGUUGGGCUGUAGCUCGGAGAUGUAGGGCUGUAGCUCGGAGAUGUGGGGCUAUAGCUAGGAGAUGUUGGGCUGUAGGAAGGAGACGUUGGUGAAUAAGAUGGGCUUGUGGGAGAAUACGCAGGGCUUGUAGGACUAUAUCCAGGAGAACUAGGACUAUAUGUUGGGGACGUAGGGCUGUAACCAGGGGAAGUAGGACUGUACCCAGGUGAGGUGGGGCUGUAUCCAGGAGAUGACGGGCUGUAUCCAGGAGAUGAAGGGCUGUACCCUGGAGAUGAUGUAGGAGAAAACGCCAUCCCGCCCACAUACGGAGAAAACUGAGCAUCUGAAACAGGAGAUAACCGAAGAUUUGGGCUCAGCAUAUAAUUUGGUGACAUCAUGCCAUCAUGAUAUGGGGUCCCUGAGAUGGGUGAACGGCCAGGAGUCAUGCCAAACUCCAGUCCACCUUCCAUAUAACUGGGCAGAGGGAUCUCAAUAGCUUGUUUAGCAUCUCUUCAUUCAUAUACAAAGCACAAUCACCUGUGCCAAUAGGUGCAAGCUGUCCUAACAUGAUAUUCUCAGUUACACCCCUGAGGUAAUCUGUUUCUGCAUACACAGCAGCAUCAAGAAGAAUGUCCACUGUUUCUUCAAAGGAGCAUCUCAUCAUGGGGCCAGUAUCGUUGCGAUUGAUACCAUGACGGGUGAUGGCCAUCAAGUGACCACGAUAUGUCAUGGUAUCACACAAUAUAGCCAAAUGUCUAUAGUUCACGUAAGACCCAUCAAAUGAUAUGACAACACGCAACUCAUCCAGCAAGGCUUUGCGAACUGCCUCAAUGCCAAGAACUUCAAUAACUUCAAUCAAAUGAUUGCUUGUUGUCCUACUUGCAUCUACAUCUUCAUGGCAAAUUACAGCUAAAAGAUUAACACCUUCGGUGUCAAGCAUCCACUCAUUCUCAGCCUUGAAGCCUUCAUUUUCAUCAAACUUAUUUACCUUGCCAUUCUUUAUGAACACCUUAUUGAUAUCUGGUAUGCCUCGAAGAGCCAUUUCUGUAAGCAUGUUACCCUCAAUCUUUUUGAGGAAGACAUCAUCCUCAGCAGAUUCAUCAUUCAACUCACCUUUAGGGGCUUCAUCAUUCAUAAUACGAAUACGAAGGAUAAGCUUUUCAGCAUUAUCAUCAUUAAAUAUGCACGUUAGAUCACUAUCAAAUUCAGCAUUAAUCUUAUGGGAAAUAUCAGCCAUGUUGAGUUUCUUAUCCACCAUCAUUUCUCUGUUUAACUCUAUGCGAAGCAACCACGGAGAGAUCUUGUCGGGGUCAACAUCAUCAUCUGGCAUCUCAAAGUAGGACGUCACAAAUUCAACAUCUUCCUCAAUAAUAGUGCUCUUAGGAUCUGGAUCGUACCAUACCUCUGUUGCUUGUGUUACACUCCGCAAGGUUGUAUACUCCAGAGCGCACUGGACAUUUUUGGCCUUCUCCUUAGUUUUGCUUACACCAGGCUUCAAGUAUACCGAGAGNAGGUAAUCUGUUUCUGCAUACACAGCAGCAUCAAGAAGAAUGUCCACUGUUCUCAAAGGAGCAUCUCAUCAUGGGGCCAGUAUCGUUGCGAUUGAUACCAUGACGGGUGAUGGCCAUCAAGUGACCACGAUAUGUCAUGGUAUCACACAAUAUAGCCAAAAUGUCUAUAGUUCACGUAAGACCCAUCAAAUGAUAUGACAACACGCAACUCAUCCAGCAAGGCUUUGCGAACUGCCUCAAUGCCAAGAACUUCAAUAACUUCAAUCAAAUGAUUGCUUGUUGUCCUACUUGCAUCUACAUCUUCAUGGCAAAUUACAGCUAAAAGAUUAACACCUUCGGUGUCAAGCAUCCACUCAUUCUCAGCCUUGAAGCCUUCAUUUUCAUCAAACUUAUUUACCUUGCCAUUCUUUAUGAACACCUUAUUGAUAUCUGGUAUGCCUCGAAGAGCCAUUUCUGUAAGCAUGUUACCCUCUAAUCUUUUUGUAGGAAGACAUCAUCCUCAGCAGAUUCAUCAUUCAACUCACCUUUAGGGGCUUCAUCAUUCAUAAUACGAAUACGAAGGAUAAGCUUUUCAGCAUUAUCAUCAUUAAAUAUGCACGUUAGAUCACUAUCAAAUUCAGCAUUAAUCUUAUGGGAAAUAUCAGCCAUGUUGAGUUUCUUAUCCACCAUCAUUUCUCUGUUUAACUCUAUGCGAAGCAACCACGGAGAGAUCUUGUCGGGGUCAACAUCAUCAUCUGGCAUCUCAAAGUAGGACGUCACAAAUUCAACAUCUUCCUCAAUAAUAGUGCUCUUAGGAUCUGGAUCGUACCAUACCUCUGUUGCUUGUGUUACACUCCGCAAGGUUGUAUACUCCAGAGCGCACUGGACAUUUUUGGCCUUCUCCUUAGUUUUGCUUACACCAGGCUUCAAGUAUACCGAGAGAGAGGGUGUUUUAAUUUUCUUAGCAACAUUAAUAAUCUCCCUCAACCUUGGAACACCUAAAGUUAACAAUUCUUGGCACUCACACCAGCAUAGUGAAAUGUAUUGAGGGUCAUCUGUGUAGCAGGUUCACCAAUGGAUUGUGCAGCAACACAUCCUAUCAUUUCACCAGCAGCAACAAGUGACUGAAGAAAACGGGAUUCUAUCUCGCCAACUACCCAGUCAAAAGCCUCACGGGUAAGUCUGUACUCCUUCAGGACCCUUUUACUUGCUAAAGCACUACGAAGCAAUAUAUUGAAGAAAAGAGUAGCAUUCUUCUGUGCUUCCAAACUCAGAUAAUCAUCACCAACAACCACCUUAAGCCUUUCUUGUAACUUAUCAACAGCUUCUACAAUCUCCAUUGGAUGCAUAUCAGACGGUCUCCGAAAAUCAACUCUAAAGGUCUUCUGUGCAUUCAAAACAAGCCUCUUGAUGUUGACAGGGAGGGGCCAAGAAUUGUCACCCGUGGUGGCAAUCUCUGUUCCAAGUUGAUACCUAUCGGCUUCAAGUUUCUGAACCUCUGCAUCAAACACACUGCGGAUUUCACGAAUCGUUUUCAGAUCUUCCACAGCUUCAGGUAACAUAUAAUUAGGAUUCCAGUUUGGGUGAUCAAUCUCAUAUUUGUACAUGUCAUUGAAAUCCGAUCUCUUCAACUUCAGUGAUUCCAAAGGCUGUGAUUCAAUCCAAACUGCAUCCAUACCAUCUUCCCCGUACAGAAACUGAAUCACAUCACCUAACGAAUUCCUAACAGUCCCAUCAUACUUAACCAUGAUAUCUUCCAUAGCCUUCACCAAUCGCCUCUGAAUAUAUCCAGUCUCAGAAGUUUUCACUGCAGUGUCAAUAAGACCUUCCCUACCACCCAUGGCAUGGAAAAAGAACUCUUGAGGAGACAAUCCUCGAAGAUAUGAGUUCUCCACAAAACCACGACUCUCUGGACCAUAAUCAUCUUUGGUGAAGUGUGGAAGUGUGCGAUCCACAAAACCAAAAGGAAUUCGCUUGCCUUCAACAUUCUGCUGACCCACACAUGCAGUCAUCUGAGAAAUAUUGAUGAAACUUCCCUUAGACCCUGCAGUGACCAUAGCUUUGAGGUUGUUACUUUCUGCCAAGCUCUUCUGAGCACUGCUUCCAGCAUCAUCACGAGCCUUAUUCAACACCUGAAGGCACAAAACAUAUAUAAGGGAAUCACCAGGCUGCAGCAAGGAAAUCAAAAUUUUUAACAAACCUGGUUAACUCUGUUCUCGAACGAUUCCAUCAUUGUUCUUCCUGGCUCAGCUUCCAAUUGCUUUUCUUGUGCAGCCCUGAUAAGUUCAUUCACCUCAUUCUUAGCUUUGUUAAUAGUUUCAGAGAUCUUCGUCAUUGUAUCAUGAUCAGCAAUUGUAUCUCCAAUUCCCAUGCUAAAAGCGUUCUGCAAAAGCCAAUAAUUGACCAGCCAUUGUGUAUGUCCCAAAAAUUUCCGAGCUGCAUCUGGACCGACUUCUUCCCUGAGACCAGUAUACAUUAUAUUAAACACAUAAAUAUGAAUAAAGAAUCUUUCGGGCUUUCAGUUCAUUAUUAUAAUAUUUAUUACUCCUUGUUUCAUGUGCCAUAUCAUAUGUUUUGAUGUCACAAAUGCUAUAAUAUUCACACAGAAGAGCUACUAGAGUGGAGGAAGACUGAUAUAUGCAAAAGCUAAAUUGUUAAAGAGUACAGAAAUUUUCAAUAAGAUACUCAUGUAGUUUUAAACUUCUGAAGAAAAUUAAUCUUCUCUUCUACAAAUUCCGAUGGAGUAAGCAAAGGAACACUUUCUUGAAAUGGCAUUAGUUUUAUUGAUAUCUAUAAUGAGUGCAAGCAUGGAGAUUGAUAAAGUGUUUUGUCUGCAAAGAAACAGUACCCAUUUUUUUGUGCCAAAAGGAGAAUCUUUUUGCUAGUGAAAAGAGAGGGUAUUUCAUUGGUAACUCAAGCAAGUUCUUUUGAAAGUAUUACUUCUUCAAUCAACAUAUUGCGAGUUCUGACUCAUUUGCGAGAUCCUAGAAUAUAUAAAUAAAAGACACCAACUUCAUUUAAAGUAUUUGCAUACAUAUGCUCCCAAUCCCCAUUGCCCAUAGAGCAAUGGACCAAUUUAAUACAACAUGAAUUCUUCAGAAGAUAAAAGUGAAAGUCAUGCUUUUGCUCUUAAAUUUAAGGUUGAACGAAAAAUGUGACCCGCAAACAGCCCCAUACCUCCAUUUUACCCAACUUUCCACUUAUUACAUUUUGCUACUAGAUACUUCAGGUAUGUUACCCGCAAUCAGCCCCAAUUCAUAAUAUGGAUAAGUUGGGUGGGCGUUUAGGAGACAAUAGUUUCCUUUCAAAACCCACCAAAUGCAGAAAUGGUACUGCAAAAAUUCCAGAAAGAACGUACCAAAUAACAUGUAUGAGACUUCCACUAGAUGACCCGAGUGUUUUCUUGCAUAGGGUGCCUGAAAGUAACUCCCCUUUUUCUAUCCGUACUUGAGUAUCCCCAGGAGUAAUAAAUCCUUUUUCAGUUUCUUGAUGCCAUGAAGAAUACCUUAAUAGAUUUAUCUGUCUUGGAAUGAUUAAAUUAAAUACUUGUUUCCCAGUCCAAAGAGGCUUAGGUUUCAGAAUUGUUGGAGCAGGUACUUUGCCAUCAAAAUCCUCCCACCACAUAAGGAUGUUCAUAAAAACAUCCUGCGAACAAUACAGACAGCGAUAUCAGAUUGAAUGUGGACACUUACCUAAAAAUUACAUAAUGAUGACAGAAAAUCAAAUGUUACCUUGUCAAUAAAAGUAUCUCUCUUAGUGAUUUUGCGACAUCCUAGUAGUGUAUCCUGCACAAUACCCAUUACAGGUCGAUUUGAUUGAGGUGACACGAUGCAUUUUGGAACCAUCAUUAAUUCCAGAACUUCGGCUCUAGUUUCAAAUGACUGGGGCACGUGCAUAUUCAUUUCAUCUCCAUCAAAAUCAGCAUUGUAGGGUGAGGUAACAGACAGAUUUAAGCGGAAUGUUGAAUAUGGCAUAAUCUUGAUUCUGUGGCCCAUAAUGGACAUCUUAUGGAGACUCGGUUGCCGAUUGAACAGGACAAAGUCUCCAUCAUUUAAAUGUCUCUCAACCUGUACCAUCAAAUAAUAGGAAUCAGGUGUCAAAAGGAAUCCAAUGCUUGAUCAUUCUCAAUUAUAUAGCUGGGAGUCUCACCUUAUAUCCAAGUUCUAGAUGCUGAUCACUACUCUUUUUCAAGUACCGGAGAUCAAGCCUCUGUCCAUCAUCCCUAAUAAUAUAUUUUGCGCCAGUUUUACCAGGAGGGGGAUGAGGUCCAUAUUCCACAAGCUCUUUCAAUCUAUUUUCAAGGUCAAUAUCUGGUUAACAAGAAUAACCAAAAAGUAUAGAGGGAUCACUAUCAAGAAAUAUGGUAAGAGUGCCUAACCUUUCGAUGUUAUAUGGAGUUACAGUUUCAGGAUAUGUAAGAUUUAAGGCAAUACUCCAAGGCACACCCAGCUGGUCGAUGUUGAUUGUUGGGUCAGGUGUAAUCACAGUCCGAGCCGAAAAAUCUACUCGCUUACCCAUCAAGUUACCUCUGAUCCUACCAUCUUUUGCCUUAAGCCUGCUACAUAUUGAUUUAAUGGGUCUGCCAGAUCUUUGGGUAGCCUGAUGUAUACAAGGAUACUUCACUUGUUAGAUAAAUGAUGUUCCAGGAACUGCAUCCACAGUCUCAAUAUACUGAAAUAAUAUAACAUACUCUUGGUUGACCAGGUAAAUCGUUAUCAAAGUAUGUAGCCACAUGGAACUGCAGCAACUGUGCAAACUCAGAGAUGAUGUGUGCAGGAGCCCCAUUCCGCUCCUGCCUCUUUAAGUUCUCAUUAUGCCUAAUGAUCAUGGCCAGUUGAUGAGUUAAAUCAUCCUGCAUAAAUUGAUUCAAUUAUUAGAUUCUCCUGCAACUUAAAAGCAGCAAUCCGAGGAACAUGCAAUUGAUUGACUUGAUCAGUUUGCAGUGAACAGAACCCGAUACACUUAUCUGACCUAAAGGAACAAUUAGGGGUAAUCUAAACACCCAUGACAUUGUAGAGAUCAAAAGGAGAAGUCAUGCCUCACUCCGAGAAGAAGUAUCCAUCAUUACAGAAGGCCUAACUGGAGGAGGAGGGAUUGGAAGAACUUGAAGAAUCAUCCAGUCAGGGCGAGCAUAUUUUGGAUUCAAGCCCAACAACUGACAAUCUUCAUCAGUAAUUCUCUUCAGUAUGCUGAGCACCUGAAACAAAAAGGAAAUAGAGAUUGUUGGGAUUAGCGCAUAAAUCAAUCUAUCACAUUAUCCAGGCUGGAAAAAAAAGUUUGAAUCCCUAUUCUCUGGCAAUUUAUGAUAUAUGAUACCUUCUCUGCAGAGAGAAGUUGUUUUCGUUCAACAGGUUCAGGCAUCUGGUCCUGGUCAUCACUUUUCUUCUUCUGAAUCUUGUAUUCAGCAACCAUUUUCAUCCCAUCUAUAGAAAUCUUUGGCUGCUGAGCACCGCAUCCACCCCUAGACUUCUUCACAGGUUCUUCCGAAUCUUGACCUCGCACAUCGAUCUCAUCACCUCCUUCACAUUUGGAUUUGUUUUUGCAGGCAUCUAAUAUCUUCUUUAAUCUAUUCUUAGGGUUUCUAAUUCUCAUUGCUUGCUUGAACUUGGGAUCGUCCUAGAAAAAUUAACAAGGGAUCAAAAUACAUUGCAAAAGAAAACGAUUGUUCCAACUUCCAAGUAACUUUAUUUCCAUUUGAAGUAUAAUAUUCAGGCAAUAAUGAAAAUAACUAACUUUUACAACAGCAACACUCCUAGGAGAUGCAUCCAGAUGAUGAAAUACCUCAAACUGCUUCUAUCUUACCAAUAUGCAUUUCUAUAAAAGUAACACAAUUAUUGAAGACAUAACAGAACCUAGAAGCCUAAAACUGGAUCGUUGCUAGUCAUAAGUCUUACUAUCCAGUCACUCUUGCAAGUAAUAAGAAUGUUACAAUUAAAUCAGUUGCCCAGUUCAGGAUGGUCAUGAAUAAGACAGAAGUCUGACCCUCCUAGUAUACGAACAUAUACAUGAAAUAAGCAUUUUCCGUGAAUCCAGCAUAUGUUAUACACUUCUGAAAAAUUCAGUCUGCUACUCAGGCCUCACAACAGCGGAAUCAAUAGUCAUACCCAAUAUGAACCAAGUGAGCAUGACUGUACAAAUUCAUACUACUUAAACCGAAAACGUCCAUAACUUCAAUCUAACUACUCGGGAAAUGUACAAUACCUCAUCCGCUAAAAUCUUAGAGCAAUUGAAGCAGACACUGCGGAGAAUACUGAGCACAGUCUUCAUGAAGCCAAUGUGAAACAUAGGUUUGGCGAGCUCAAGGUGACCGAAGUGACCGGGGCAGUCAGCCAUGUUCGCCAUACAAGUCUCGCACUUCAUCUUCCGAUCAAUCGUCCCCAGACGCGGGUCGCUCAAACCACCGAUCUUCGGCUUGCCUCUUUCCGUCGUCUCGCUGUGCUCUAUAUGCACAACAGACAUUUGUCUCUACAAAACACACCAUAAAACAAUAGACCAUCAUUUCCAACUCAAUCACACACUCAAUGCCGAAACUGAAAGUUCAAAACAUUCAAAGAAGUGAGAAUUACGAUCUCAUCGGGGCUGAGAAUGCCGAAUUGGACGACGCGGACUUUCGCGACCUCUGCCGGCGAGAAGGGGAACCGCAGAUCCAUUGCGACACCGGAGAUUCUACCCUAGGGUUUUCGAUUAUGAUUUAUUAUGCUAGCUGAUAUAUAAUAAUUCCAAAAUUAGAAACAAAUAUGGUUUUCAAGUACUUCAAAUUAUUCGCGGUUUCUGUUAAGUAACUGAUUUUUGGGGUUUUUGAAGAAAACUUUUUUCACGCUGCGCUCUUCUCUGAAGGAGGAGAGGCGGCUUUGAGACCAAAGAAGAGAAUGAGGGGUUGAAGGGGUAUUUAAAGAGAUGGAUGGCUUCGAAGUCGGCGCUUAAUGGGGUUGUUUGGCUACACAGUUAUGAGCUGGACAUCUUCCUCUCGUUUGGUCCAUCUAUUAAAAAAUCUUCUUAAUCUAUUUUUAAACAUAAUUUCAUCAACUAUUAUCCUUAUAAUUUUCAUUUUUUGUAAGACUCAUUUUUCACUUAUCAAGUAUACAAUUAAUUUUUAUUAAAAUUCAUGUCACCCUCCUUUAUAAAGAUCUUUGAGAAAUGAAGGGAGUGUUAAUUCCAAAUAUUUGGUAAAAUAAGUACAUAAAUACUCAUUUCGUCCCAACUUUUAGUAUCAAUUUAAGAAUGACACGUGUUUUAAUAAAGUUGUUAAGUGUGUUGUGAGUGGAAUAAGGGUCUCGCAUUUUACGUGAAUGUUAAAAUAAUUAAAGUGGAGUAAGGGUCUCACCUACUUUUACUAAAAAUAAAAAUGAAUAUCAAAAUAUGGAACGGCCAAAAAAGGAAAUAUGAAUACUAAAAGUUGGGACGAAGAUAGUAGUUUACAAGCUCUACAAAUAAGUUUCUACAAUUUAUAAGCUUUUCAAACUACAAACUUUUUACCAUAAAUUACUUUUUCAUAAUUUUAUACUUCCUUCAUCCCAAUUCNCUUAUAAUUUUUCAUUUUUUUGUAAGACUCAUUUUUUCACUUAUCAAGUAUACAAUUAAUUUUUAUUAAAAUUCAUGUCACCCUCCUUUAUAAAGAUCUUUGAGAAAUGAAGGGAGUGUUAAUUCCAAAUAUUUGGUAAAAUAAGUACAUAAAUACUCAUUUCGUCCCAACUUUUAGUAUCAAUUUAAGAAUGACACGUGUUUUAAUAAAGUUGUUAAGUGUGUUGUGAGUGGAAUAAGGGUCUCGCAUUUUACGUGAAUGUUAAAAUAAUUAAAGUGGAGUAAGGGUCUCACCUACUUUUACUAAAAAUAAAAAUGAAUAUCAAAAUAUGGAACGGCCAAAAAAGGAAAUAUGAAUACUAAAAGUUGGGACGAAGAUAGUAGUUUACAAGCUCUACAAAUAAGUUUCUACAAUUUAUAAGCUUUUCAAACUACAAACUUUUUACCAUAAAUUACUUUUUCAUAAUUUUAUACUUCCUUCAUCCCAAUUCAAUAGGCCACAAGACAAGGCUUGGACAUGGAUAUUAAGAAGCGAAUAGUUUAUAAUAAAAUACGAGAGAGAAAGUAGCUUUUUUUAGAGUAAAUUUGUGAAAAAAGUAGGAGAGAGUAGAGAUAAUUUUGUGGGAUCACAAUGAUAUUUGAUGUACAUAAUGAGUUGUGCGAAGGUGUUUGUUAUAUACUAUGAUUUUUUAUUUUAGGAAGUGACCUAUUGAAUUGGAACGUCCAAAUAAGGAUUCAUGACAUAUUUAAAUGGAACUGAGGGAGUAAUAUAUUUUACAAAAAUUAUUCAAUUAUACUUUAUUACUAUUUUCAUCAUAUACACUUUAAACCACUUUGCAAAAAUUAACUCAAUCAUAUAAAUACUUUCACAACUUAUAAGCUCUUACAAAAAUACAUUUUUAAAAUUUUUGAAACAUUUUAUAAAUUGCUACAAUUAUAAAUUUCUUAAAAUAAGCUUAUCCAAACAUCCCCUUAAUUCUACAACAAAAUUUUAACAAAUGGAGUAUAAAUGAGCUAUGAUUGGUAACAUAUUUUUCCUACAAAAAUAAUAAGCGAUAGGUAACAUAACUAGCGUGGGAACUAAGAAUCAAUCUGGUCUAUUAAUUUGAUUAAAUGAUCAUGAUUGAUUUCCAUAUUGAACAAUACAUAUAUAUGAUAAUGCAUCAGUUUAUGCCAGAAAUUAUGCCAUGCUGAUAAAUAAUACUCCAUUCGUCCCAAACGAAAUGUCCUAUUUCUUUUCGGUACGGAAAUUAAGAAAUGUGUAUAAAAUAGAUUAAGUGGGUUGGUGAAAAUUAUUUAAAUAUUAAGUAUAGAGAGAGAGUGUAGUGCCAAAAAAGGAAACAUGACAUUUCGUUUGAGAUAGCCCAAAAAGGAAAACAGUACAUUUCGUUUGGAACGGAGGGAGUAUAGUGCAUACUUAUAAUAAACAACGUAGUUUUAAGUGUGGUGCCCACUUCGGGGGAGCUUGUUGGAUUUAUAAUAAACGACGUAGUUUUCAUAUAUACAAAAAAUCCUCUUCCAUUGAGAUGGUUUCUUACAUUCUUGGCUUCAGCUGCGCAUGGCUUAUCUAUGCAUGCAUUAUUUUAGUUAUAAGCAAUUUAGUAAAUAAAAUAACAAAAUGGAUGGAUUAACAUUGCCACAAAACAUGAUGACACUAUUAGUAUUUUACUUCAAAGGGGAAGAAAAAAAAACUUUAUACGAAUGAAAGAAUGCCAUGUUAAACAAUCUCUCUUAGCCAAAUUGGAAAGCUAUGAGACCAAACAAAUGGACUACAAAUUAAAAAAGAGGUUAUAAAGUGACACGGGACUUAUACGCCACGUGCGGAGUUCAGCUGCCCGACUGCCGGAGUUCAGCUGCCCGACUGCCGGCCUGGUAUGAAAAUGAUUGGGUUAGGGUAGGGUGUCCCAUGCAACAAAUCCUCAUUCCACCUUCCCUUUGUCAGUUUCAUUUACCACACUAAGCCAUGUAAACAAUACCAACACAAUCACAAAAUCAGCAAAUCUAUUCGAACUCGCUUGGCCUAUGGUGAAAGCAGGAUGGAAAAGAAAGCAAAAUAAGCAAAGGUAAAUAUACCUGCUUGGACUGGAAGGAGAAAAAGAUGGUGAUGUUGGGCUGCAAAACCACAGAAAAUAAUAUGUCAAGGUAGCAUUUGAAAGAGAGUUUCACCAGUUCAGAAUAUAUCCUAGUCUUGUCGGGGAAAUAAAACAAAAAGAGUAAUACUCUAGGGAACAAUUUAUCCAGCUUCCUCUGUGGACAAUCAAGUAUAGAAACAGAGUAAUACAUUUAACCAAGGUUAUAUUUGUUAGCAAACUUGAAGAGCAAAAAUUAAAAUAAGGCUUGCCAAAAGUUACCUGAGACUCGGAGAAUAUGGACUGUACGGACUUGAAGGUGUGAUUUUUGGACUUGUAGGUGAAUAUGCUUGUGAAGGGCUAUACCUUGCUGAAGGAUUGUAACUUGGUGAGGUCAGACUGUAAGUCGGUGAGGUGGGACUGUAUCCAGGUGAAGUUGGGCUGUAGGCAGGAGAGGUAGGGCUGUAUGAAGGUGAGGUUGGGCUGUACGAUGGAGAGGUUGGGCUGUAAGAUGGUGAGGUUGGGCUGUAAGAGGGAGACGUGGGGCUGUAAGCCGGAGAAGUUGGGUUAUAAGCAGGUGAGGUUGGGCUGUAAGAGGGAGACGUGGGGCUGUAAGCCGGAGAAGUUGGGCUAUACGCAG